RNAcentral lists this transfer RNA (70 nucleotides) under Dipodomys ordii (Ord's kangaroo rat). It matches the Rfam family "tRNA". Rfam says of the family: Transfer RNA (tRNA) molecules are approximately 80 nucleotides in length. Lineage: Eukaryota; Metazoa; Chordata; Mammalia; Rodentia; Heteromyidae. The record is from Rfam by way of RNAcentral.
GGUAAGGUGGCUCAGUGGUAGGGUGCUUGCCUUGCAUGCAUGAGGCCCUGGGUUCGAUUCCUCAGCACCA